AAUAUUAUAAAAAUGAAUUGUAAAUGGAAUAGUAGCCUGGUUUAGAUUAAAAGUGAAGUGUUUGUUCAAUAAUAAGAAAAUACCUCAAAUUUUGCCUGGCAAGCAGGCCAAUCCCCACCUCAGGAAAUGACAUCAUUACUUUUUAUUUCUAGGACUCCAGUUCUAUACUAGCAUUACUGCAAGACCAGGUGCAUUAAAGAGUGCUAAAAUAAGAGUAUAUUACAAACAAAUUACAAUGUUUUUAGCCAUAUAUGCCGUGCUUUUCUCUUUGGUCACAGAAGCUGUUCUGGGAGUGAUACUGGAGCAAAAAGAUCUCUUUAUAACAAAAGAGGAGGGCAAAAGUAUGUAUAUCAGCUGCACUGUGAAACAAUUAUCCACCACAUAUGUCCACUGGUACCAAAAGAAAGAAGGAGAAGCUCUGAGAAGGAUCCUAUAUGUCAGCGAUGGAAGCAAACCUGUGCAUGAUACCAGCCAUCCUGAAGCAAAGGACUUUGAUGUGAGAAAACAGUCUGAAAAUUACGAUCUGAAGAUAGCAAACCUCAAGAAAAGUCACUCAGGGGUUUAUUACUGUGCCAGCUGGGAGACCAGCUCCCACACUGACAGUAAAUAUUCACAAUGUGUACAAAAACCCUGA
This is a non-coding RNA of Silurus meridionalis, 634 nucleotides long. The record is from the annotation of a RefSeq genome assembly. NCBI's taxonomy places the organism in Eukaryota, Metazoa, Chordata, Actinopteri, Siluriformes, Siluridae.